Small nucleolar RNA from Varanus komodoensis (Komodo dragon), 133 nucleotides. Lineage: Eukaryota; Metazoa; Chordata; Lepidosauria; Squamata; Varanidae. The record is from Ensembl.
UGGAGGACUGAGAAAAUAAAGCAGUUUGUAAGUACUGCAUUUAUUGGUUACAACCUCCAAAAUCAAAACUGCAAAAGCAAUUAUGUUUCUUUGACACCUGUACAGGAACACUGUUGCUUGUUGCAUAUAUUUC